Malania oleifera is the source of this 104-nucleotide small nucleolar RNA. NCBI's taxonomy places the organism in Eukaryota, Viridiplantae, Streptophyta, Magnoliopsida, Santalales, Ximeniaceae. The record is from RefSeq and is a predicted model, not a curated record.
ACCUGAUGAUGUGGGCAUUGACAUAGUAAGUCCUUAAAAUGCUCCCAUGUCUCAAAGAAAAGCUCCCCAUCCAUCUGUGAAAAACUCGUAAUGGCUCUCCGAAU